Chiroxiphia lanceolata (lance-tailed manakin) is the source of this 2242-nucleotide long non-coding RNA. RefSeq lists it as uncharacterized. The record is from RefSeq and is a predicted model, not a curated record. The transcript is spliced from 3 exons. NCBI's taxonomy places the organism in Eukaryota, Metazoa, Chordata, Aves, Passeriformes, Pipridae.
GGACGGCGGGGCCGCGUCCCCGGCACCGAGGGGGUGCAGGAGCGGAGGGAGGGUGGGAGAAGCCCCACUGGGAAGGACCCUCCCUGCUAGCCCCGCUCCCACCUGGGGAGGGGGCCAAAGCCAUUGAGCCGUGGCGCACGCUGGGCGCUUGGUCUGAGGAACUGCGAUGUUCCGUGGCUUCAGUGACGUUUAUGCAUAAACCUGGAACCUGGACCCAUGACUUAAUGGCGAGGUCGGUGUGAGCUGCUCCUCAAGGCCCAGGGCUCUUGGAGCCGGUGCUUGGAAGCAGCUGGUGAAAGGUGGAGGGUUGGAGAAGGGCCGCAGGCUUCCUUCUUCCUGAGCACACAGUCUGCGCCCUCAGCCUGACCUGAGGUGUGCGGGGCAUAACCUGCCGUCUGUUAAUGCAUGGGGAUGCAUGACCUUGAUACUGUUCCUGCAAGGAACACCAAAAACAGACCACUGGCCUAACAAUUCAUCUGCACUGGGAUAUGAACAGCAGCUGCGAGCAGCUAUAGUACAGCUGAUGGCUUUCAGAAAAGGAGCAACUGAUCUCUAAUGUCACGUCAAAUGAUUCAGAGUUCGCACCAAGAGAAACAGAUCCAUUCUAGGCUGCCAGGGCAAGAACUGUGAAUUAGAAACCAACCUCCCAUGGAGAUAUAAAGAGGGAAAUACCAGAAUCAGCAUCAAAAACUAAUGCUUCCAUUUUGUCAAGUAUCAAAGUAAUAGAAAUUCUAGGAGCUUAAAGUGGUUCAAUUAGUCAAAAAAACUGCCGUGGAGACUAGCCCAAAUAAUUAACAAUUCUCCCAAAUAACUUGCUCUGAGUGCUGUUCUUCAGCCAAAAUGCUUCCUAAAAGAGGGGGACGGGCAGGAAGGGAGGGGAGGGGAGGAGAGGAGAGAGUGAGAAAACAUGUCUAUUAUGCAUGUGAUUGCUAGCACACAAGCUUCUUGCUCUAGGAAGGGAACAAAUUAUGAACAAGGGAAUAGGCAAACAGUGGAAAGUAGGUCUGUGACUGAAAAUGCUCACAUCCAGUGAUGUUUUUAACUGAAGCAGAUGACCAGCCUGAUGACAGUAGCUGGUACUAUCUUCCUCUCUUUCAUUGCACCUUGGCACUAGUCUGAAUGCCACUACAGCUGCAUCCUCUCCUGUUAAUAUAAACAAGAGACCAAAGAGUGCAGUGCUGACAUGCUGCCUUGUGCACAGCUAACUUGUGGGUACACCAAGAAAGGGCAACGUCUUGUGCUUUCUCUGAGGGGUGGCUCCUCUCCUAGACAUCCAGAAAUAGAGAGAGAAAAGGUGAAAGCCAGUUAUCAGCUAACAGCUUUCCACUCUCAGACCAGUAAAAGUAAGAGCAGUGAGGGAAGGCUGAACUAAUAAUUUGUGUGUUAGUGCAGCGCAGGUAAGCCUAGACUGGGCUGCUCUGCUUCCCCAUCCUUACUGGAGCUUUCUCAGCGUCAGUACGCUGGAGAUACAUGUGCCAACCUACUUCUAUUGCACGCUCCCCUACUUCUCCCUUUGUUUAAUGGAAACACUGGAAAAAAGUUUGCCAGAGACCCUCAAGGCUCCAGGAACCCUUUCAGAAACAAGGCCUAGACUCUGCUUGAAAAGCCAGGCAGUACACAGCAGACGUGGUGCCUGGGGGAGCAGGAUACCACUCCUGCUCGGUGACAGUCCCUUGGCUGGGAGACACAAGGGCAAGCAGCACAAGAGUGGGCUGAACCAGCCUCUUAAUAGAAAAGCCCACAGAAGACCACGCACAAACAUGCUGCCCCUGCAUGGCCCACAGAGCAACAUGGGCAGAAGGGUGUUAAGAACAAAAGGUGCUGUGAAAGGCUGGGGACAGACACAUUUCUGAUGUCCCAGAAGAAGGGAUGGUGAGGUGAGAUAGCAGCUUGGACCAAGUGAAGAGAGAGGAGUUAAUCUGGAGCACGACAAGGAAGAUCAUGCGGUUAAACAUUGUGCUGUUCUGAAAAUCUCCAGAGAAAGUGAAGUUCCUGUGCCUCUUGGGCUAUGGAAAAGUGCCCAAGAGAGGCCAUGUAUCACAGAACAUUUGAAGUAGGACAGCAGAAAAUCGAAAAGAAUCCUGCUUUGAGUCUAGGACAGGACAGAUAAAGGCAGAGACUCAACACCACUCUCCCACUAGACAAGCAGGCUCAAACAUAAGACAUAACUCAGCACCAACAUCAAUUUAAUUCUUCCCUCUUCAGGACAGGAACAGGGCAGAUAGUCCUGGAGUUACAUCAG